AUUUUUAUAGUUGAAUUACAACAAAAGCUUUUCAUGCUUUAAGUUUGGGUUAAAACCCCAGUAAAAAUU
RNAcentral lists this transfer RNA (69 nucleotides) under Crossaster papposus. RNAcentral's name for it is "tRNA-Glu". It matches the Rfam family "tRNA". From Rfam's summary of the family: Transfer RNA (tRNA) molecules are approximately 80 nucleotides in length. Their secondary structure includes four short double-helical elements and three loops (D, anti-codon, and T loops). Further hydrogen bonds mediate the characteristic L-shaped molecular structure. tRNAs have two regions of fundamental functional importance: the anti-codon, which is responsible for specific mRNA codon recognition, and the 3' end, to which the tRNAs corresponding amino acid is attached (by aminoacyl-tRNA synthetases). tRNAs cope with the degeneracy of the genetic code in two manners: having more than one tRNA (with a specific anti-codon) for a particular amino acid; and 'wobble' base-pairing, i.e. permitting non-standard base-pairing at the 3rd anti-codon position. Lineage: Eukaryota; Metazoa; Echinodermata; Asteroidea; Velatida; Solasteridae. The record is from RNAcentral.